GGGUUAUCUAUAUUUAAAAUCUUUUACGGGUUAACUUAAAAUAUACCGUUAAACCUAAUGAAAAAUUAUUAUCUUAAAGAAAUAUGUUAAAAUGUACUUCGGUUAUGACUAUUUGACAUUCGGACACAGUUGUAUAAUAAAUUAUAACAGAUUUGCAAGAUUGUUUACUUUAGAAAGCUUUCAAAACUGAAAACAAAAAAAAAUCAUUACGCUUCUAAAUUUGGAACACCAAAAUUAACCUAUUUAUGUAUUUAAUGAGAUAUUCAUUUGUGUAGACUUUUGAGAGAUUUAAGGAGAAUGAGAUUAGUGGAUAAUUUUUUCAAUUUUCCUUUUUCUAUUCAAUAUUGUUUAUAUUUGUUUUUUUUUUAAUUAAUAGAGAAAGAUAAUUAACUCCAGUGGCAUGUUAUUGUAAAUAGUUUGAAAGUCCAAGAGUUUUUUCAAAUAGUGCUGCAAAAAUGUUAUAGUAGAUGCAAGUGAAAAUUUAUUAUUUUCUAUUAUAAACCAUCUCUCGCAAAUAUAAAAAA
This 524-nucleotide long non-coding RNA is filed under the name Capsella rubella. RNAcentral's name for it is "long non-coding RNA (CRUB_LNC002102)". The record is from RNAcentral. Lineage: Eukaryota; Viridiplantae; Streptophyta; Magnoliopsida; Brassicales; Brassicaceae.